CCUUAACCAAAUACGUGCUCUUCCAUCUUCCCGGAGAACUUGUCAAUCAUCGACUAAAGUGUGACAAAGAAGAAUGUAAACAAAACUGAAGAAGCUACUUUCCAACAUAAAGCUGGGUUUUCAAGGAACGUUUGGAUAAUUAUUAUUUUAGAUCGCUCUAAACUAUGAAAUUAAUUGACCAUAUGUAUACAUUUUAAUCAUUCUGUGUAAUGCUAUGCAUCACCGAUUUUGGAUAUGCUGUAUACACAAAUAGAUACUUCUGGAUGCUCUAAAUAAUCAUUUACCUGGGAGAACAAUAAACAGUUACAGUAACAAACUAUUUAUGAGCAAAUAAUAAAAAUUACCUUCAUCCAUCUG
This is a long non-coding RNA of Bombus impatiens (common eastern bumble bee), 357 nucleotides long. RefSeq lists it as uncharacterized. Lineage: Eukaryota; Metazoa; Arthropoda; Insecta; Hymenoptera; Apidae. The transcript has 3 exons. The record is from RefSeq and is a predicted model, not a curated record.